RNAcentral lists this ribosomal RNA (579 nucleotides) under Streptomyces sp. Its description in RNAcentral is "bacterial SSU rRNA". It matches the Rfam family "Bacterial small subunit ribosomal RNA", at positions 39 to 637 of the family's 1533-position model. The record is from RNAcentral. Lineage: Bacteria; Bacillati; Actinomycetota; Actinomycetes; Kitasatosporales; Streptomycetaceae.
GAGGCGGGGCUAACAUGCAAGUCGAACGAUGAAGCCCUUCGGGGUGGAUUAGUGGCGAACGGGUGAGUAACACGUGGGCAAUCUGCCCUUCACUCUGGGACAAGCCCUGGAAACGGGGUCUAAUACCGGAUAACACUCCUGCCUGCAUGGGUGGGGGUUAAAAGCUCCGGCGGUGAAGGAUGAGCCCGCGGCCUAUCAGCUUGUUGGUGGGGUAAUGGCCUACCAAGGCGACGACGGGUAGCCGGCCUGAGAGGGCGACCGGCCACACUGGGACUGAGACACGGCCCAGACUCCUACGGGAGGCAGCAGUGGGGAAUAUUGCACAAUGGGCGAAAGCCUGAUGCAGCGACGCCGCGUGAGGGAUGACGGCCUUCGGGUUGUAAACCUCUUUCAGCAGGGAAGAAGCGAAAGUGACGGUACCUGCAGAAGAAGCGCCGGCUAACUACGUGCCAGCAGCCGCGGUAAUACGUAGGGCGCAAGCGUUGUCCGGAAUUAUUGGGCGUAAAGAGCUCGUAGGCGGCUUGUCGCGUCGGAUGUGAAAGCCCGGGGCUUAACCCCGGGUCUGCAUUCUAUACGGGC